Molecule: ribosomal RNA, 762 nt
Filed under: uncultured Lactobacillus sp.
Lineage: Bacteria; Bacillati; Bacillota; Bacilli; Lactobacillales; Lactobacillaceae
Description: bacterial SSU rRNA
Rfam family: Bacterial small subunit ribosomal RNA
Source: RNAcentral
UAACUGACGCUGAGCUCGAAAGUAUGGGUAGCAAACAGGAUUAGAUACCCUGGUAGUCCAUACCGUAAACGAUGAAUGCUAAGUGUUGGAGGGUUUCCCCCUUCAGUGCUGCAGCUAACGCAUUAAGCAUUCCGCUGGGGAGUACGGCCGCAAGGCUGAAACUCAAAGGAAUUGACGGGGGCCCGCACAAGCGGUGGAGCAUGUGGUUUAAUUCGAAGCUACGCGAAGAACCUUACCAGGUCUUGACAUACUAUGCAAAUCUAAGAGAUUAGACGUUCCCUUCGGGGACAUGGAUACAGGUGGUGCAUGGUUGUCGUCAGCUCGUGUCGUGAGAUGUUGGGUUAAGUCCCGCAACGAGCGCAACCCUUAUUAUCAGUUGCCAGCAUUAAGUUGGGCACUCUGGUGAGACUGCCGGUGACAAACCGGAGGAAGGUGGGGAUGACGUCAAAUCAUCAUGCCCCUUAUGACCUGGGCUACACACGUGCUACAAUGGAUGGUACAACGAGUUGCGAACUCGCGAGAGUAAGCUAAUCUCUUAAAGCCAUUCUCAGUUCGGAUUGUAGGCUGCAACUCGCCUACAUGAAGUCGGAAUCGCUAGUAAUCGCGGAUCAGCAUGCCGCGGUGAAUACGUUCCCGGGCCUUGUACACACCGCCCGUCACACCAUGAGAGUUUGUAACACCCAAAGUCGGUGGGGUAACCUUUAGGAACCAGCCGCCUAAGGUGGGACAGAUGAUUAGGGUGAAGUCGUAACAAGGUAACCA